Molecule: long non-coding RNA, 709 nt
Organism: Pteropus alecto (black flying fox)
Lineage: Eukaryota; Metazoa; Chordata; Mammalia; Chiroptera; Pteropodidae
Exons: 2
Source: RefSeq, a predicted model, not a curated record
ACUCACAGUGGCUCCCCAUUCCCUGUCAGAUCAAACCCCAGCUUGACUUCACUCAGGACCGGUGUGCUCUCUGUUCAGUCCCAUCUUGUCUGACCUUACUUCCAUCCUGGCCACCUUGGUGUCCAGGCAUGCCCAAUGUCCAAGCCUGCUUUCUUCCCUGCUGGUACCCACUACAUACCUGCUGAGCCUGGGCUGGCCUCUACGAACUCAAUCAGUGCUCACUGCCCCGCCCCCUGCUCCCCCCGCUCCCCAGUCCCCAGUGUCCCUCAAGGUGACAGGCUCAUUCUGGGUUGUGGAUUCCCAGGAGUGAGUCCUAAUUCUCUUUUGUUCCGCCUUCAUGUUCUAGGGGUCCCCUCACCUGUCCAGCUCUUUCCAAUUGAGUGGUGUUUGCUGCACAGUCACAGGUAGAGAUUGGAAGCGUGUUUUCAAACUUAACAUAAGAACCAUCUGGAGAGCUUGUGAAGGAUUUCCAACCUCUGUACCCAGCAGUCUGAUUCGGUAUGUCUGGGGUGGGGUCUGAGAGUCUGCACUGUCAAGAAGUGCCCCCGACAUUUCCUGUACAUUCAGAUCUGAGAACCACUGCUCUAGGACGUCACUCAGGCCCCAAGAGCUGCAGUAUCAAACUUUUUUUGACCACAAACCACAGUAUGAAAUUUUACACUAUGACCCAGGAUACAAAUAAAAGUUUGAUGAAACAUAUUUUCCCCAA